GUUCAAGCAGCCGCGGUAAUACCAGCACCCCGAGUGGUCGGGACGAUUAUUGGGCCUAAAGCAUCCGUAGCCGGUUCUACAAGUCUUCCGUUAAAUCCACCUGCUUAACAGUUGGGCUGCAGAGGAUACUAUAGAGCUAGGAGGCGGGAGAGGCAAGCGGUACUUAGUGGGUAGGGGUAAAAUCCGUUGAUCCACUGAAGACCACCAGUGGCGAAGGCGGCUUGCCAGAACGCGCUCGACGGUGAGGGAUGAAAGCUGGGGGAGCAAACCGGAUUAGAUACCCGGGUAGUCC
This 292-nucleotide ribosomal RNA is filed under the name uncultured bacterium. Its description in RNAcentral is "partial 16S ribosomal RNA". It matches the Rfam family "Archaeal small subunit ribosomal RNA", at positions 455 to 747 of the family's 1478-position model. The record is from RNAcentral.